UGCCUUCAGGUCUGAUACGGGCUUGUGCUUUGCAGAAUGCUACUGCGGCUGAGCCUAGCGCGGCGCGGGAAGAUUCUGCUGUUGUUAAUCGGAAAAGACCAACUCUGGGAUGAUUCAAAUGUGUAAUAUUGAUGCAUCAUUUUUGUCGAAUUUAAAUAAAGUUGGCAUUGGAAUAUGAAUCUGUGAUGAACUUGGUCAAUUUGUGCUUUCAAAGGCAGACUGAAUUUGCCCUUCAUUGUGGAGUGGAUGUUGGUGAAGCUCUUGAUUGAAGACUUGGAUUUUCUGAAUGAGAUUGGAGUUGAUCCAGAAAAGGUUAACUUGUCACAGCUUUGGUGAACUCACGUGAAUUGUAUUUUACGUUCUUUAUGUUGGCUGUAAUUGUCUCUUUUGGAAGAAUAUUAGCAAUUUGUUGAUGAUUAGUGUACUACCCUUGUAGUUCUAACAAAUAAAUGCUAACUAAGUACUGAUGGAUUCUAAACUUGUUACUGAGGGUAGCAAAAUCACUGAUUGAGCUGUUUGCUGAAAUGUUAUUUGUGCAUGGUUACAUACAUGGUGAUCCACAUCCUGAUAAUGUACUAGUUUCUCCUGAAGGUCAUAAUGGUUUCUCUUUGGUUCUUCUAGAUCAUGCAGUCUACAGGGAAUUGGAUGAAGAAUUUAGAAAAGACUUUUGUCAGUUAUGGGAGGCUUUGAUUCUCAAGGACUCAAAGAAAACAACGUGGCUUGGUGAGCGAUUUGGUGCUGGGAAGUAUUCUCGAUACUUACCCAUCAUUUUCACCGGAACAACUAUUGAAAGGUUUCUUCUUAACUUUUAGUUUAUUGAUGCAUAUAAUGCUCUGCUAGUUUACAUUUUGAGGACAUUUCAUUUUGGAGAUUGUACUUUAUUGUACUUCUUUAUUUUGGACAUUUCAUUUCAAGAUGAUUAAUUUUAUUUCAUUACACUUUCUAUGAUAUAAGAUGUAUAAAGACAAGGGUCGUCUCGAGAAAACAUCUGGUGCUUGAGAAUCAUUAAGUUUGGUGUCUAUGAGGCACUGUAGUUCUGAGUCAUAUUCCAAAAUAAGCUCAACAAGAUCUUUCAUACCUUGAUCUAUAGGAACAUGUUCAGGCAUGAGAUUUUUCCACCAACUGUUAAUUUUACUUA
Molecule: long non-coding RNA, 1138 nt
Organism: Trifolium pratense (red clover)
Lineage: Eukaryota; Viridiplantae; Streptophyta; Magnoliopsida; Fabales; Fabaceae
Exons: 3
Source: RefSeq, a predicted model, not a curated record